GCCGUGGCUCAGUGUUGGAGCAUCUGUUCUGCAUGCAGAAGGUCCUAGGUUCAACCCCCAGCAGCAUCU
Podarcis lilfordi (Lilford's wall lizard) is the source of this 69-nucleotide non-coding RNA. The record is from the annotation of a GenBank genome assembly. Lineage: Eukaryota; Metazoa; Chordata; Lepidosauria; Squamata; Lacertidae.